Molecule: ribosomal RNA, 1820 nt
Filed under: Marinobacter sp.
Lineage: Bacteria; Pseudomonadati; Pseudomonadota; Gammaproteobacteria; Pseudomonadales; Marinobacteraceae
Description: partial 23S ribosomal RNA
Rfam family: Bacterial large subunit ribosomal RNA
Source: RNAcentral
AAUAGCUCACUAGUCGAGUCGGCCUGCGCGGAAGAUGUAACGGGGCUCAAACUGGUCACCGAAGCUGCGGCUGUACACGCAAGUGUACGGGGUAGGGGAGCGUUCUGUAAGCCUGCGAAGGUGUGUCGAGAGGCAUGCUGGAGGUAUCAGAAGUGCGAAUGCUGACAUGAGUAACGACAAUGCGGGUGAAAAACCCGCACGCCGGAAGACCAAGGGUUCCUGCGCAACGCUAAUCGGCGCAGGGUGAGUCGGCCCCUAAGGCGAGACCGAAAGGUGUAGUCGAUGGGAAACGGGUUAAUAUUCCCGUACCUUGGAUAGCUGCGAUGGAGAGACGGAGAAGGCUAGGUGAGCCGGGCGACGGUUGUCCCGGUUUAAGCGAGUAGGGAGUGGACUUAGGCAAAUCCGGGUCCACAAUCCUGAGACGUGACGACGAGUGUCCUCGGACACGAAGUCAUUGAUGCCCUGCUUCCAGGAAAAUCUUCUAAGCUUCAGGCUAUUCGAGACCGUACCCCAAACCGACACAGGUGGUCAGGUAGAGAAUACCAAGGCGCUUGAGAGAACUCGGGUAAAGGAACUAGGCAAAAUGGUGCCGUAACUUCGGGAGAAGGCACGCCGGUGUGUACGUGAAGUCCCUGCGGAUGGAGCGGAAGCCGGUCGAAGAUACCAGGCCCCUGCGACUGUUUAUUAAAAACACAGCACUCUGCAAACACGAAAGUGGACGUAUAGGGUGUGACGCCUGCCCGGUGCCGGAAGGUUAAUUGAUGGGGUUAGCUUCGGCGAAGCUCUUGAUCGAAGCCCCGGUAAACGGCGGCCGUAACUAUAACGGUCCUAAGGUAGCGAAAUUCCUUGUCGGGUAAGUUCCGACCUGCACGAAUGGCGUAACGAUGGGGGCGCUGUCUCUACCCGAGACUCAGUGAAAUUGAAAUCGCCGUGAAGAUGCGGUGUAUCCGCGGCUAGACGGAAAGACCCCGUGAACCUUUACUAUAGCUUCACAGUGAACUUUGAGCAUGCUUGUGUAGGAUAGCUGGGAGGCUUUGAAGCGGGAACGCCAGUUCUCGUGGAGCCAACCUUGAAAUACCAGCCUGGCAUGUUUGAGGUUCUAACUUGGUCCCCUGAUCGGGGAUGAGGACACUGUGUGGUGGGUAGUUUGACUGGGGCGGUCUCCUCCCAAAGCGUAACGGAGGAGCACAAAGGUGGGCUAAGCACGGUCGGACAUCGUGCGGUUAGUGUAAUGGCACAAGCCCGCUUGACUGCGAGACAGACACGUCGAGCAGGUACGAAAGUAGGUCAUAGUGAUCCGGUGGUUCUGUAUGGAAGGGCCAUCGCUCAACGGAUAAAAGGUACUCCGGGGAUAACAGGCUGAUACCGCCCAAGAGUUCACAUCGACGGCGGUGUUUGGCACCUCGAUGUCGGCUCAUCACAUCCUGGGGCUGAAGCCGGUCCCAAGGGUAUGGCUGUUCGCCAUUUAAAGUGGUACGCGAGCUGGGUUUAGAACGUCGUGAGACAGUUCGGUCCCUAUCUGCCGUGGACGUUGGAGAUUUGAGGAAAGCUGCUCCUAGUACGAGAGGACCGGAGUGGACGAACCUCUGGUGUUCGGGUUGUCACGCCAGUGGCAUUGCCCGGUAGCUAUGUUCGGACAGGAUAACCGCUGAAAGCAUCUAAGCGGGAAGCCCCUUCCAAGAUGAGAUCUCCCUGGACCUUCGAGGUCCCUGAAGAGCCGUUCAAGACCAGGACGUUGAUAGGUCGGGUGUGUAAGCGCUGCGAGGCGUUGAGCUAACCGAUACUAAUUGCUCGUGCGGCUUGACUAUAUAACACCCAAG